This 486-nucleotide ribosomal RNA is filed under the name uncultured bacterium. RNAcentral describes it as "partial 16S ribosomal RNA". It matches the Rfam family "Bacterial small subunit ribosomal RNA", at positions 29 to 507 of the family's 1533-position model. The record is from RNAcentral.
AUUGAACGCUGGCGGCAUGCCUUACACAUGCAAGUCGAACGGCAGCACGGGUGCUUGCACCUGGUGGCGAGUGGCGAACGGGUGAGUAAUACAUCGGAACAUGUCCUGUAGUGGGGGAUAGCCCGGCGAAAGCCGGGUUAAUACCGCAUACGAUCUACGGAUGAAAGCGGGGGACCUUCGGGGCUCGCGCCAUAGGGUUGGCCGAUGGCUGAUUAGCUAGUUGGUGGGGUAAAGGCCUCCCAAGGCGACGAUCAGUAGCUGGUCUGAGAGGACGACCAGCCACACUGGGACUGAGACACGGCCCAGACUCCUACGGGAGGCAGCAGUGGGGAAUUUUGGACAAUGGGCGAAAGCCUGAUCCAGCAAUGACGCGUGUGUGAAGAAGGCCUUCGGGUUGUAAAGCACUUUUGUCCGGAAAGAAAUCCUUGGCCCUAAUACGGUCGGGGGAUGACGGUACCGGAAGAAGAAGCACCGGCUAACUACGUG